CCUAGUGGUGAUAGCGGAGGGGAAACACCCGUUCCCAUCCCGAACACGGAAGUUAAGCCCUCCAGCGCCGAUGGUAGUUGGGGCCAGCGCCCCUGCAAGAGUAGGUCGUUGCUAGGC
RNAcentral lists this ribosomal RNA (117 nucleotides) under [Bacillus] caldolyticus. RNAcentral also lists the same sequence under 5 other names. Lineage: Bacteria; Bacillati; Bacillota; Bacilli; Caryophanales; Anoxybacillaceae. The record is from RNAcentral.